Molecule: ribosomal RNA, 253 nt
Filed under: uncultured bacterium
Lineage: Bacteria
Description: partial 16S ribosomal RNA
Rfam family: Bacterial small subunit ribosomal RNA
Source: RNAcentral
UACGUAGGUGACGAGCGUUAUCCGGAUUCACUGGGCGUAAAGGGUGCGCAGGCGGCCAGGUGUGUUAGGCGUGAAAGCCCGGGGCUUAACCCCGGAAUUGCACCUAAAACUACUUGGCUAGAGCAUUGGAGAGGGUAGCGGAAUUCACGGUGUAGCAGUGAAAUGCGUAGAUAUCGUGAGGAACACCAGAGGCGAAGGCGGCUACCUGGACAAUUGCUGACGCUCAGGCACGAAAGCGUGGGGAGCAAAAGGG